Molecule: long non-coding RNA, 673 nt
Organism: Lontra canadensis (Northern American river otter)
Lineage: Eukaryota; Metazoa; Chordata; Mammalia; Carnivora; Mustelidae
Exons: 2
Source: RefSeq, a predicted model, not a curated record
GAGUCUUCUAGGACUAUCACCAUCUCUGCAAAGAGGCCAGAGUCUCCAACUGGUCUUGCCCAGCAACAUUACACCAAGGGCAAUCUGGUCCGGAUAUGCAUUGGGGUUGUGAUUCUAAUACUCCUGGUGGGGCUUCUGGCAGAAGAUUGGCACAGCAGAAAGAAACCCCUGCCAUACAGGGUCAGACCUAUCCGCAGGCCACUCCCACCCCUCCCACAGACCCAGAGACAACACAGUCAUCAGGAUGGGGGUCGACCAGGUGGCCAUAACCAUGGGCGCCACAAUUAGAACUCCAAGGCUUGGUUGUAGCUAUGAGAUAAGGGAUGUAAAACCAUGUGUGGAGUGUAUGGAAUGUAGGAGCAAGAGGACAGGGGUUAUGACUAUGGAGAAGGAGGACCUUGGGGCCUCUCCUUGGUGUCCCAUCAAGGACCUGUUGAGCCAGUGUCUAUUUGGCUUUCAUCCAAGGACUCCUCUCAUUUGGGAUGGGAAGUAUCUAGUGGAUGCCAGUGUCUCCUCACUCACAUCUCGCACAUUGUGGAUCUUGUAGCACCCUAACUGGACCAUCAUAAUGACCCCUUCAACCUUCCCUAAUUCAUGUUCGUUAUUGACUUUUGUAUCACCAAGUCUCAUAGCUGACCCCAUUCUAUGCUCUGCAUAAAACUCUCUCACGCUU